This 275-nucleotide ribosomal RNA is filed under the name uncultured soil bacterium. RNAcentral's name for it is "partial 16S ribosomal RNA". It matches the Rfam family "Bacterial small subunit ribosomal RNA", at positions 26 to 302 of the family's 1533-position model. The record is from RNAcentral.
AGGAUGAACGCUGGCGGCGUGCUUAACACAUGCAAGUCGAACGAUGAAGCAGAGCUUGCUCUGUGGAUUAGUGGCGAACGGGUGAGUAACACGUGAGUAACCUGCCCUUGACUCUGGAAUAAGCGUUGGAAACGACGUCUAAUACCGGAUACGAGCUUCCGCCGCAUGGUGAGGAGUUGGAAAGAAUUUCGGUCAAGGAUGGACUCGCGGCCUAUCAGGUAGUUGGUGAGGUAAUGGCUCACCAAGCCUACGACGGUAGCCGGCCUGAGAGGGUG